GGGUCGGUAGUCUAGCUUGGUAUGAUACUUGCUUGGGGUGCAAGAGGUCGCCGGUUCAAAUCCGGCCCGGCCCACCA
Molecule: transfer RNA, 77 nt
Filed under: Candidatus Thorarchaeota archaeon
Lineage: Archaea; Promethearchaeati; Candidatus Thorarchaeota
Description: tRNA-Pro
Rfam family: tRNA
About the family: Transfer RNA (tRNA) molecules are approximately 80 nucleotides in length. Their secondary structure includes four short double-helical elements and three loops (D, anti-codon, and T loops).
Source: RNAcentral